This 470-nucleotide ribosomal RNA is filed under the name uncultured bacterium. RNAcentral describes it as "partial 16S ribosomal RNA". It matches the Rfam family "Bacterial small subunit ribosomal RNA", at positions 28 to 507 of the family's 1533-position model. The record is from RNAcentral.
GACGAACGCUGGCGGCGUGCUUAACACAUGCAAGUCGAACGGUGAACGAGGGAGCUUGCUCCCUCCGGAUCAGUGGCGAACGGGUGAGUAACACGUGAGCAAUCUGCCCCGAACUCUGGGAUAAGCGUUGGAAACGACGUCUAAUACCGGAUACGACGCGGGAGGGCAUCCUCUCCGCGUGGAAAGAACUUCGGUUCGGGAUGAGCUCGCGGCCUAUCAGCUUGUUGGUGAGGUAACGGCUCACCAAGGCGACGACGGGUAGCCGGCCUGAGAGGGUGACCGGCCCCACUGGGACUGAGACACGGCCCAGACUCCUACGGGAGGCAGCAGUGGGGAAUAUUGCACAAUGGGCGCAAGCCUGAUGCAGCAACGCCGCGUGAGGGACGACGGCCUUCGGGUUGUAAACCUCUUUUAGCAGGGAAGAAGCGAAAGUGACGGUACCUGCAGAAAAAGCACCGGCUAACUACGUG